AAGGAAGCACACUAAGGUCAUAGAUUAAGCCAUGCAAGUGUUAGUUCAGGCAACGAAACUGCGAAUAGCUCAUUAAUACGCUCAGAAUCUAUUUGGCAGCGACCUCCAGGUUUUAGAUGGAUAGCAGCAGUAAUUCUGGUGCUAAUACAUGCAAUUGUUUCAUCGGAAGUGAAUUACGAUGGAAAAGUUGACCGCAAGGCAAGCCAUUCGAUUGAGCGGCCUAUCAGCUUGUACUUAGGGUCUUUACCUAGGUAGGCUGUCACGGGUAACGGGCGGUUACCGUCGGACUGCCGGAGAAGGCGCCUGAGAGAUAGCGACUAUAUCUACGGGUAGCAGCAGGCGCGAAACUUACCCACUCGAGACUUUCGGAGGUGGUAAUGACCAGUUCUAAGUCAAUUCCAUAAGGAGUUGCUAAGGAUAGGCUCACACUUCUCAAAUGUGAAGAAACCAAGCAGAGGGCCAGUCUGGUGCCAGCAGCUGCGGUAAUUCCAGCUCUGCUAGUUUGCUCCCAUAGUGUUGCAGUUAAAACGCNCGUAGUCGNAAAUACAUUGUUUAUGCGNCCUCAAACCGCGUUCACUGUGAACAAAUCAGGACGCUUAAAGUAAGGUUACUUGAAUGACUAAGCGCAGUAUGAUAUGUUUACCUAAGGUAAGAUCAAAGAGAGCCAUCGGGGGUAGAUCUAUUUCAUGGCGAGCGGUGGAAUGCUAUAACCCAUGAGAGAGAAACUAAGGNGAAGGCAUCUACCUAGCGGGUUUCUGUCGAUCAAGGGCGAGAGUAGGAAGAUCCAACCGGAUUAGAGACCCGGGUAGUUCCUACCUUCAAAGAUGCCGACACGGGCUUAUCCUAAAUGAGGGUAGGAUCGUCGGAGAAAUCAUAGUUCUUGGGCUCUGGGGGAACUACGACCGCAAGGCUGAAACUUGAAGGAAUUGACGGAAGGGCACACCAGGGGUGGAGCUUGUGGCUUAAUUUGAAUCGACACGGGGAAACUUACCAGGACAAGAUGUUAUUUAUGAUUGACAGGCUGUAGGUCUUUCAGGAUUUGACUUGUGGUGGUGCAUGGCCGUUGGUGGUGCGUGGGUUGACCUGUCUAGCGUUGAUUCAGAUAACGAGCGAGAUUAUCACCAAUUGAUACCUUGUCUUGUACUUUGUACCAGCUCAGGGUUCCGAUUGGGACUGCCUGCGUCUAAGCAGGAGGAAGAAGGUAGCAAUAACAGGUCCGUGAUGUCCUUCAGACGNCCUGGGCUGCACGCGCGCUACAAUGUGAGGAUCAAUGAGCAUACGAGNCUCGACAGGGNAAGUUACUCUCCCAAAACCUCACGUACCUGGGAUUGACGGUUGUAAUCACCGUCAUGAACCAGGAAUCCCUUGUAAACGUGUGUCAACAACGCACGUUGAAUAUGUCCCUGCCCUUUGUACACACCGCCCGUCGCUCCUACCGAUGGAUGAUUCGGUGAAAUCACCCAACAGCUAGACUGAAGGUGCUUAAACCAUAUCCUCUAGA
Molecule: ribosomal RNA, 1501 nt
Filed under: Calonympha sp. B14
Lineage: Eukaryota; Parabasalia; Cristamonadida
Description: SSU rRNA
Rfam family: Eukaryotic small subunit ribosomal RNA
Source: RNAcentral